GUGCCAGCCGCCGCGGUAAUACGGAGGGUGCAAGCGUUGUUCGGAUUUACUGGGCGUAAAAGGCAUGUAGGCGGCUGGAUCAAUCAGAUGUGGAAUACCCCGGCUUACCCGGGGCACGGCAUUUGAUAUUGUCCGGCUAGAGUACGGGAGAGGAGAGUGGAACUCUUGGUGUAGCGGUGAAAUGCGUAGAUAUCAAGAGGAACACCAGAGGCGAAGGCGACUCUCUGGUCCGUUACUGACGCUGAGAUGCGAAAGCUAGGGGAGCAAACGGGAUUAGAUACCCCGGUAGUCCUAGCCGUAAACGAUGGAUACUAACUUGGGGCAUCUUUAGGUGUCUCAGGCUCAGCUAACGCAGUAAGUAUCCUGCCUGGGGAGUACGAUCGCAAGAUUAAAACUUAAAUGAAUUGACGGGG
RNAcentral lists this ribosomal RNA (413 nucleotides) under uncultured prokaryote. RNAcentral's name for it is "bacterial SSU rRNA". It matches the Rfam family "Bacterial small subunit ribosomal RNA", at positions 505 to 918 of the family's 1533-position model. The record is from RNAcentral.